This 468-nucleotide ribosomal RNA is filed under the name uncultured bacterium. Its description in RNAcentral is "partial 16S ribosomal RNA". It matches the Rfam family "Bacterial small subunit ribosomal RNA", at positions 28 to 507 of the family's 1533-position model. The record is from RNAcentral.
GACGAACGCUGGCGGCGUGCUUAACACAUGCAAGUCGAACGGAAAGGCCCUGCUUUUGUGGGGUGCUCGAGUGGCGAACGGGUGAGUAACACGUGAGUAACCUGCCCUUGACUUUGGGAUAACUUCAGGAAACUGGGGCUCAUACCGGAUAGGAGCUCCUGCUGCAUGGUGGGGGAUGGAAAGUUUCGGCGGUUGGGGAUGGACUCGCGGCUUAUCAGCUUGUUGGUGGGGUAGUGGCUUACCAAGGCUUUGACGGGUAGCCGGCCUGAGAGGGUGACCGGCCACAAUGGGACUGAGAUACGGCCCAGACGCCUACGGGAGGCAGCAGUGGGGAAUAUUGCACAAUGGGCGGAAGCCUGAUGCAGCAACGCCGCGUGCGGGAUGACGGCCUUCGGGUUGUAAACCGCUGUCGCCUGUGACGAAGCGUGAGUGACGGUAAUGGGUAAAGAAGCACCGGCUAACUACGUG